GGGCACGUGGCGGAAUUGGUAUACGCGCUAGUCUUAGGAACUAGUGCCUCACGGCUUGGGAGUUCGAGUCUCCCCGUGCCCA
RNAcentral lists this transfer RNA (82 nucleotides) under Candidatus Taylorbacteria bacterium CG10_big_fil_rev_8_21_14_0_10_41_48. RNAcentral describes it as "tRNA-Leu". It matches the Rfam family "tRNA". From Rfam's summary of the family: Transfer RNA (tRNA) molecules are approximately 80 nucleotides in length. Their secondary structure includes four short double-helical elements and three loops (D, anti-codon, and T loops). Lineage: Bacteria; Candidatus Tayloriibacteriota. The record is from RNAcentral.